ACGCUCGACACCUACGGGGGCAGCAGUGGGGAAUAUUGCACAAUGGGGGAAACCCGUCGAUGCAGCGACGCCGCGUGAGCGAAGAAGUAUUUCGGUAUGUAAAGCUCUAUCAGCAGGGAAGAAACUGACGGUACCUGACUAAGAAGCACCGGCUAAAUACGUGCCAGCAGCCGCGGUAAUCUGAGCGGGCUGGCAAGGC
RNAcentral lists this ribosomal RNA (199 nucleotides) under uncultured bacterium. Its description in RNAcentral is "partial 16S ribosomal RNA". It matches the Rfam family "Bacterial small subunit ribosomal RNA", at positions 328 to 539 of the family's 1533-position model. The record is from RNAcentral.